Molecule: ribosomal RNA, 274 nt
Filed under: uncultured bacterium
Lineage: Bacteria
Description: partial 16S ribosomal RNA
Rfam family: Bacterial small subunit ribosomal RNA
Source: RNAcentral
AUACGGAGGGUGCAAGCGUUAUUCGGAAUCACUGGGCGUAAAGGACGCGUAGGCGGGUUGGCAAGCCAGAUGUGAAAUCCUACAGCUUAACUGUAGAACUGCAUUUGAAACUGCUAACCUAGAGUAUGGGAGGGGGAGAUGGAAUUAGUGGUGUAGGGGUAAAAUCCGUAGAUAUCACUAGGAAUACCGAAAGCGAAGGCGAUCUCCUGGAACAUAACUGACGCUAAGGCGUGAAAGCGUGGGGAGCAAACAGGAUUAGAAACCCUUGUAGUCC